RNAcentral lists this long non-coding RNA (566 nucleotides) under Salmo salar (Atlantic salmon). RNAcentral's name for it is "lncRNA (ENSSSAG00000114361.1, ENSSSAG00020068025.1)". Lineage: Eukaryota; Metazoa; Chordata; Actinopteri; Salmoniformes; Salmonidae. The record is from RNAcentral.
ACAAUGUAAUGCAGCAGAUGACAUGGAGUGAGUUUAGAAUUCUUAAACAAGGAGCGUCAAUUUGAUUGGCUGUUGCAUGCCAUUUAAAUCGCAUUUGAGUUGCUUCAUGUAACAGCAAAGUUGCUUGCAACUGGAACUAAAAUUGUGUGAAAGUUGCUUUGUGUAACGCACUCCUUAGAAUCUCCUUUGGCAGUGAUUACGGCUGUUGGUCUUUCUGGGUUCCCUUUUUUGCGAGGCAUCGGACAACCUUCCUGGUCUUUGUGGUUGAAUCUGUGUUUGAAAUUCACUGCUCGACUGAGGGACCUUACAGAUAAUUGUAUGUGAGGGGUACAGAGAUGAGAGAAUUUGGCAGUACUUCCAACUGGCCUCACAACUGCAGACCAUGUGUAUGGCGUCAUGUGGGCGAUCAACGUAUACAACAGCGUGUUCCAGUUCCCGCCAAUAUCCAGGAACUUUGCACAGACAUUGAAGAGGAGUGGGACAACAUUCCACAGGCCACAAUCAACAGCCUGAUCAACUUUGUGCGAAGGACAUGUGUCACGCUGCAUGAGACAAAUGGUGCUCCC